AUUGAACGCUGGCGGCAUGCCUUACACAUGCAAGUCGAACGGUAACGGGCCUUCGGGUGCCGACGAGUGGCGCACGGGGGAGUAAUACAUCGGAACGUGCCCGAUCUUGGGGGAUAACGAGUCGAAAGCUUUGCUAAUACCGCAUACGAUCUACGGAUGAAAGCGGGGGACCGCAAGGCCUUGCGCGGACGGAGCGGCCGGUGGCAGAUUAGGUAGUUGGUGGGAUAAAAGCUUACCAAGCCGACGAUCUGUAGCUGGUCUGAGAGGAUGAUCAGCCACACUGGAACUGAGACACGGCCCAGACUCCUACGGGAGGCAGCAGUGGGGAAUUUUGGACAAUGGGCGCAAGCCUGAUCCAGCCAUGCCGCGUGCAGGAUGAAGGCCUUCGGGUUGUAAACUGCUUUUGUACGGAACGAAAAGCCUUCUUUUAAUACAGGAGGGUCAUGACGGUACCGUAAGAAUAAGCACCGGCUAACUACGUG
This 482-nucleotide ribosomal RNA is filed under the name uncultured bacterium. Its description in RNAcentral is "partial 16S ribosomal RNA". It matches the Rfam family "Bacterial small subunit ribosomal RNA", at positions 30 to 507 of the family's 1533-position model. The record is from RNAcentral.